UUUCCGGAGACUGCAGGCUGGUGGGUUCGUUCUUGCCCGGUUCCCAGCUUUGAACACAAGGUGAGGAAACACUGCAGGUUUCUUAGGAUACGGUUGGGUGAAGACUGGCCCUUCCCAGAGCCGCGGGAGACACGGGAAGACCCAGCCUGGCCAGCGGUGGUGGCUCCAGAAUCUCCAGAAGGCCCGGGUAGCUGGAGCAGAAAUGCUUCCAAAAAAGUGAAUCCGAGAAGUUUGGAGUGUGAUCUGCACAUGGAGCGAUGGCGUGAGAUAACACCCCGCUCAUUGCCUGCGCUGCGCAGCCUCCCUUUGCCCACCCUUGGCCCUCCACUGUGCUCAUUCCCUGGUAAGUGUCAUUUUGAUGAUCAACGCAAG
Long non-coding RNA from Balaenoptera musculus (blue whale), 372 nucleotides. RefSeq lists it as uncharacterized. Lineage: Eukaryota; Metazoa; Chordata; Mammalia; Artiodactyla; Balaenopteridae. The transcript is spliced from 3 exons. The record is from RefSeq and is a predicted model, not a curated record.